CGGGUGAGUAACGCGUGGAUAACCUGCCUCACACUGGGGGAUAACAGUUAGAAAUGGCUGCUAAUACCGCAUAAGCGCACAGUACCGCAUGGUACGGUGUGAAAAACCCAGGUGGUGUGAGAUGGAUCCGCGUCUGAUUAGCCAGUUGGCGAGGUAACGGCCCACCAAAGCGACGAUCAGUAGCCGACCUGAGAGGGUGACCGGCCACAUUGGGACUGAGACACGGCCCAA
Molecule: ribosomal RNA, 231 nt
Filed under: uncultured bacterium
Lineage: Bacteria
Description: partial 16S ribosomal RNA
Rfam family: Bacterial small subunit ribosomal RNA
Source: RNAcentral